This 74-nucleotide transfer RNA is filed under the name Legionella longbeachae. RNAcentral describes it as "tRNA-Gly". It matches the Rfam family "tRNA". From Rfam's summary of the family: Transfer RNA (tRNA) molecules are approximately 80 nucleotides in length. Their secondary structure includes four short double-helical elements and three loops (D, anti-codon, and T loops). The record is from RNAcentral. RNAcentral also lists the same sequence under 95 other names. Lineage: Bacteria; Pseudomonadati; Pseudomonadota; Gammaproteobacteria; Legionellales; Legionellaceae.
GCGGGUGUAGUUCAAUGGUAGAACUUCAGCUUCCCAAGCUGAUAGCGUGGGUUCGAUUCCCAUCACCCGCUCCA